This 66-nucleotide transfer RNA is filed under the name Platypus contaminatus. RNAcentral's name for it is "tRNA-Thr". It matches the Rfam family "tRNA". Rfam says of the family: Transfer RNA (tRNA) molecules are approximately 80 nucleotides in length. Lineage: Eukaryota; Metazoa; Arthropoda; Insecta; Coleoptera; Curculionidae. The record is from RNAcentral.
GUUUUUAUAAUUUAAAUAUAAAAUAUUGGUCUUGUAAACCAAACAUAAGGAAACUUUAAAAACUUC